AAUUAAUGACUAUAAAAGUACAUUUU
RNAcentral lists this ribosomal RNA (26 nucleotides) under Blastocrithidia gerricola. RNAcentral describes it as "partial 9S ribosomal RNA". The record is from RNAcentral. Lineage: Eukaryota; Euglenozoa; Kinetoplastea; Trypanosomatida; Trypanosomatidae.